CCUACGGGUGGCAGCAGUGAGGAAUAUUGGUCAAUGGACGAGAGUCUGAACCAGCCAAGUAGCGUGAAUGAUGACUGCCCUAUGGGUUUUAAACUUCGUUUAUAUGGGAGUAAGAUCUUCCGCGUGAGUGUUUUCGUAUCUACGAUAUGAAUCAAGAUCGGCUAACUUCGUUACGUCACCCGCGGUAAUACGGAGGAUACGAGCGUUAUCCGGAUUGAUUGGGUUUAAGGGGAGCGUAGGUGGAUUGUUAAGUCAGUUGUGAAAGUUUGCGGCUCAACCGGAAAAUUGCAGUUGAAACUGGCAGUCUUGAGUACAGAAGAGGAGAGCGGAACUCGUGGUGUAGCGGUGAAAUGCUUAGAUAUCAGGAAGAACUCCGAUUGCGAAGGCAGCUCACUGGACUGCAACUGACGCUGAGGCUCGAAAGUGUGGGUAUCAAACAGGAUUAGAUACCCGUGUAGUC
This 460-nucleotide ribosomal RNA is filed under the name uncultured bacterium. RNAcentral's name for it is "partial 16S ribosomal RNA". It matches the Rfam family "Bacterial small subunit ribosomal RNA", at positions 338 to 795 of the family's 1533-position model. The record is from RNAcentral.